Molecule: ribosomal RNA, 253 nt
Filed under: uncultured bacterium
Lineage: Bacteria
Description: partial 16S ribosomal RNA
Rfam family: Bacterial small subunit ribosomal RNA
Source: RNAcentral
GACGGAGGGUGCGAGCGUUAUCCGGAAUCACUGGGCGUAAAGCGUCUGUAGGUGGUGAUGCAAGUCACUGGUGCAAAACUCUGGCUCAACCGGAGGAAAGCCAGUGAAACUGCAUGACUAGAGUGUGGGAGAGGUAGAAGGAAUUCCCUGAGUAGCGGUGAAAUGCGUAGAUACAGGGAAGAACACCGGAGGCGAAAGCGUUCUACUGGAACACAACUGACACUGAGAGACGAAAGCUACGGGAGCGAAUGGG